RNAcentral lists this ribosomal RNA (459 nucleotides) under uncultured bacterium. RNAcentral's name for it is "partial 16S ribosomal RNA". It matches the Rfam family "Bacterial small subunit ribosomal RNA", at positions 338 to 795 of the family's 1533-position model. The record is from RNAcentral.
CCUACGGGAGGCAGCAGUGAGGAAUAUUGGUCAAUGGGCGCGAGCCUGAACCAGCCAAGUCGCGUGAGGGAAGACGGUCCUAUGGAUUGUAAACCUCUUUUGUCGGGGCGCAAAAGACGCCACGCGUGGCGUUCCGAGAGUACCCGAAGAAAAAGCAUCGGCUAACUCCGUGCCAGCAGCCGCGGUAAUACGGAGGAUGCGAGCGUUAUCCGGAUGUAUUGGGGUUAAAGGGUGCGCAGGCGGAGGAUCAAGUCAGCGGUAAAAUUGAGAGGCUCAACCUCUUCGAGCCGUUGAAACUGGUUUUCUUGAGUGAGCGAGAAGUAUGCGGAAUGCGUGGUGUAGCGGUGAAAUGCAUAGAUAUCACGCAGAACUCCGAUUGCGAAGGCAGCAUACCGGCGCUCAACUGACGCUCAUGCACGAAAGUGUGGGUAUCGAACAGGAUUAGAUACCCCUGUAGUC